RNAcentral lists this long non-coding RNA (315 nucleotides) under Setaria italica (foxtail millet). RNAcentral describes it as "long non-coding RNA (SITA_LNC003849)". Lineage: Eukaryota; Viridiplantae; Streptophyta; Magnoliopsida; Poales; Poaceae. The record is from RNAcentral.
GAACGCGAGGCCCCGCCCCGGCGCCGCCGUCCGCGCCUCCGCCGCCUCGCCCUUCACCGAGGCCACCUCCUCCUCGCGCUACCGCCGCGAUGCCUGGUCCUACGCCGCCGACGGCUCCUCCAGCCCCGCGUCGUCGUCGUCGUCGCCCUCCGAUGCCGCCGCUGCCGCCGCCGCCGCCGCCGCCGCGGCGGGCCGCCGGGACGACGAGAUCGCGCUGCAGCUGCCGGAGCUGCGGAGGCUCCUGGACGCGCUGAGGGCUUCCAGGGGGAGGAGCGCCGAGGGGGAGGGCGGCGGCGGCGGGCCUGGGAGGGUGGC